This 301-nucleotide long non-coding RNA is filed under the name Elaeis guineensis (African oil palm). Its description in RNAcentral is "long non-coding RNA (EGUI_LNC050057)". The record is from RNAcentral. Lineage: Eukaryota; Viridiplantae; Streptophyta; Magnoliopsida; Arecales; Arecaceae.
CCACCAUCCUAGAUAAACUAUUUUUCUAGAAAUAUGGUAUUCUGACUCACAAUCACAUUGUGAUCUUAUGAAAAGUAAAAGUAGUAUCCUAUAGAUUUUUUUGGAUACCCUAUAAAAUGAGCUAUUACAAAUCUAUCCUCCAAUUUAUCAGCUAUCUGUCUCUUGACAUAAGCCGGAUAUCCCCAAGUCUUAACAUAAUUUGACUCGAUUUCUUACUGUAAUAUAUCUCAUAUGAUGUGGUAAGAACAGACUUUGAUGAAAUCCUAUUCAACAGGUAAAUGGUAGUUAAUAAGACAUAUCU